GAUGAAGAACGUAGCGAAAUGCGAUAAGUAAUGCGAAUUGCAGAAUUUCCGUGAGUCAUCGAAUCUUUGAACGCACAUUGCGCCCAUUGGUAUUCCGGGGGGCAUGCCUGUCCGAGCGUCAUUGCUGCCCUCAAGCACGGCUUGUGUGUUGGGCCCCGUCCUCCGAUCCCGGGGGACGGGCCCGAAAGGCAGCGGCGGCACCGCGUCCGGUCCUCGAGCGUAUGGGGCUUUGUCACCCGCUCUGUAGGCCCGGCCGGCGCUUGCCGAUCAACCCAAAUUUUUAUCCAGGUUGACCUCGGAUCAGGUAGGGAUACCCGCUGAACUUAAGCAUAUCAAUAAGCGGAGGA
This 347-nucleotide unclassified non-coding RNA is filed under the name soil metagenome. Its description in RNAcentral is "partial contains 5.8S ribosomal RNA, internal transcribed spacer 2, and large subunit ribosomal RNA". The stretch from base 1 to 121 matches the Rfam family "5.8S ribosomal RNA", at positions 35 to 154 of the family's 154-position model. The record is from RNAcentral.